This 253-nucleotide ribosomal RNA is filed under the name uncultured bacterium. RNAcentral's name for it is "partial 16S ribosomal RNA". It matches the Rfam family "Bacterial small subunit ribosomal RNA", at positions 524 to 776 of the family's 1533-position model. The record is from RNAcentral.
UACGGGGGGGGCAAGCGUUGUUCGGAAUUACUGGGCGUAAAGGGCUCGUAGGCUGCCAACUAAGUCGGAUGUGAAAUCCCCAAGCUUAACUUGGGAACUGCAUCCGAUACUGGAUGGCUUGAAUCCGGGAGAGGGAUGCAGAAUUCCAGGUGUAGCGGUGAAAUGCGUAGAUAUCUGGAGGAAUACCGGUGGCGAAGGCGGCAUCCUGGACCGGCAUUGACGCUGAGGAGCGAAAGCUAGGGGAGCAAACGGG